GAGGAAUAUUGGUCAAUGGGGGCAACCCUGAACCAGCCAAGUCGCGUGAAGGAUGAAGGUCUUAUGGAUUGUAAACUUCUUUUAUACAGGAAUAAAUUGGGGGACGUGUCCCCUUUUGCAUGUACUGUAUGAAUAAGGAUCGGCUAACUCCGUGCCAGCAGCCGCGGUAAUACGGAGGAUCCGAGCGUUAUCCGGAUUUAUUGGGUUUAAAGGGUGCGCAGGCGGGAUGUUAAGUCGGCGGUGAAAUUUUGCAGCUCAACUGUAAAAGUGCCUUCGAUACUGGCUUCCUUGAGUGUAGAUGAAGUAGGCGGAAUGUGUGGUGUAGCGGUGAAAUGCUUAGAUAUCACGAGGAACUCCGAUUGCGCAGGCAGCUUACUAAACUACAACUGACGCUCAUGCACGAAGGCUUGGGGAUCAAACA
Molecule: ribosomal RNA, 421 nt
Filed under: uncultured bacterium
Lineage: Bacteria
Description: bacterial SSU rRNA
Rfam family: Bacterial small subunit ribosomal RNA
Source: RNAcentral